CUGCUGCCUUCCGUAGGAGUCUGGGCCGUGUCUCAGUCCCAGUGUGGGGGGCCUUCCUCUCAGAACCCCUACGCAUCGUCGCCACGGUGGGCCGUCACCCCGCCGUCUAGCUAAUGCGCCGCAUGCCCAUCCGCCACCGGAUCGCUCCUUUGGCCACCGGAGGAUGCCCUCCGGUGGCGUCACGGGGUAUUAGGCCGCGUUUCCGCGGGUUAUCCCCCUGUGGCGGCCAGGUUGCAUACGUGUUACUCACCCGUGCGCCGGUCGCCCGGG
This 270-nucleotide ribosomal RNA is filed under the name uncultured bacterium. RNAcentral describes it as "partial 16S ribosomal RNA". The record is from RNAcentral.